UUCGGGUAGUUUAUUUAGAAUUAUAAUUUGUGGUGUUAUAGGUGAAGUUUUUCCUCGAGUC
Molecule: transfer RNA, 61 nt
Filed under: Roburocoris exiguus
Lineage: Eukaryota; Metazoa; Arthropoda; Insecta; Hemiptera; Miridae
Description: tRNA-His
Source: RNAcentral